GACGAACGCUGGCGGCGUGCUUAACACAUGCAAGUCGAACGGAAAGGCCCUGCUUUUGUGGGGUGCUCGAGUGGCGAACGGGUGAGUAACACGUGAGUAACCUGCCCUUGACUUUGGGAUAACUUCAGGAAACUGGGGCUAAUACCGGAUAGGAGCUCCUGCUGCAUGGUGGGGGUUGGAAAGUUUCGGCGGUUGGGGAUGGACUCGCGGCUUAUCAGCUUGUUGGUGGGGUAGUGGCUUACCAAGGCUUUGACGGGUAGCCGGCCUGAGAGGGUGACCGGGCACAUGGGGACUGAGAGACGGCCCAGACUGCUACGGGAGGCAGCAGUGGGGAAUAUGGCACAAUGGGCGGAAGCCUGAUGCAGCAACGCCGCGUGCGGGAUGACGGCCUUCGGGUUGUAAACCGCUUUGGCCUGUGACGAAGCGGGAGUGACGGUAAUUGGUAAAGAAGCACCGGCUAACUACGUG
Molecule: ribosomal RNA, 468 nt
Filed under: uncultured bacterium
Lineage: Bacteria
Description: partial 16S ribosomal RNA
Rfam family: Bacterial small subunit ribosomal RNA
Source: RNAcentral